UUAGCCAUGCUAGUCGUACGGGUUUAGACCCGUGGCGGAAAGCUCAGUAACACGUGGCCAAACUACCCUGNUGGACGGGGAUACUCUCGGGAAACUGAGGCUAAUCCUCGAUACAGCUUCCAGCCUGGAAUGGCGGAAGCUGGAAACGUUCCGACGCCACAGGAUGUGGCUGCGGCCGAUUAGGUAGACGGUGGGGUAACGGCCCACCGUGCCAGUAAUCGGUACGGGUGAUGAGAGUCAGAGCCCGGAGACGGUAUCUGAGACAAGAUACCGGGCCCUACGGGGCGCAGCAGGCGCGAAACCUUUACACUGCACGCCAGUGCGAUAAGGGGACUCCGAGUGCGAGGGCAUACAGUCCUCGCUUUUCUGGACCGUAGGGAGGUCCAAGAAUAAGGGCUGGGCAAGACCGGUGCCAGCCGCCGCGGUAAUACCGGCAGCCCAAGUGAUGGCCGAUAUUAUUGGGCCUAAAGCGUCCGUAGCUGGCCAGACAAGUCUGUUGGGAAAUCCACGUGCUCAACGCGUGGGCGUCCAGCGGAAACUGUCUGGCUUGGGGCCGGAGGACUCGAGGGGUACGUCCGGGGUAGGAGUGAAAUCCCGUAAUCCUGGACGGACCACCGGUGGCGAAAGCGCCUCGAGAGGACGGACCCGACAGUGAGGGACGAAAGCCAGGGUCUCGAACCGGAUUAGAUACCCGGGUAGUCCUGGCCGUAAACGAUGUCCGCUA
This 724-nucleotide ribosomal RNA is filed under the name uncultured archaeon. Its description in RNAcentral is "bacterial SSU rRNA". It matches the Rfam family "Archaeal small subunit ribosomal RNA", at positions 45 to 769 of the family's 1478-position model. The record is from RNAcentral.